RNAcentral lists this ribosomal RNA (474 nucleotides) under uncultured bacterium. RNAcentral's name for it is "bacterial SSU rRNA". It matches the Rfam family "Bacterial small subunit ribosomal RNA", at positions 36 to 518 of the family's 1533-position model. The record is from RNAcentral.
CUGGCGGCGUGCCUAACACAUUCAAGUCGAACGGAGAUAUACGGAAGCUUGCUUUGUAUAUUUCAGUGGCGGACGGGUGAGUAAUGCAUGAGCAACCUGCCUUGAAGAGGGGGAUAACACAGAGAAAUUUGUGCUAAUACCGCGUAAUCUGCCGAAGCGGCAUCGCAUUGGCAGGAAAGGAGCAAUCCGCUUUAGGAUGGGCUCAUGUCUGAUUAGAUAGUUGGUAGGGUAACGGCCUACCAAGUCUGCGAUCAGUAGCCGGACUGAGAGGUUGAACGGCCACAUUGGAACUGAGAAACGGUCCGGACUCCUACGGGAGGCAGCAGUGGGGAAUAUUGGGCAAUGGGCGAAAGCCCUGACCCAGCAACGCCGCGUGAAGGAAGAAGGUCUUCGGAUUGUAAACUUUUUUGACAGGGGACGAAGCAUGACGGUACCCUGAAAACAAGCCACGACUAACUACGUGCCAGCAGCAGC